UGUGAGCUCGAUGAGUAGGGCGGGACACGUGGUAUCCUGUCUGAAUAUGGGGGGACCAUCCUCCAAGGCUAAAUACUCCUGACUGACCGAUAGUGAACCAGUACCGUGAGGGAAAGGCGAAAAGAACCCCGGCGAGGGGAGUGAAAAAGAACCUGAAACCGUGUACGUACAAGCAGUGGGAGCACAGAGCAAUCUGUGUGACUGCGUACCUUUUGUAUAAUGGGUCAGCGACUUAUAUUCUGUAGCAAGGUUAACCGAAUAGGGGAGCCGAAGGGAAACCGAGUCUUAACUGGGCGUUAAGUUGCAGGGUAUAGACCCGAAACCCGGUGAUCUAGCCAUGGGCAGGUUGAAGGUUGGGUAACACUAACUGGAGGACCGAACCGACUAAUGUUGAAAAAUUAGCGGAUGACUUGUGGCUGGGGGUGAAAGGCCAAUCAAACCGGGAGAUAGCUGGUUCUCCCCGAAAGCUAUUUAGGUAGCGCCUCGUGAAUUCAUCUCCGGGGGUAGAGCACUGUUUCGGCAAGGGGGUCAUCCCGACUUACCAACCCGAUGCAAACUGCGAAUACCGGAGAAUGUUAUCACGGGAGACACACGGCGGGUGCUAACGUCCGUCGUGAAGAGGGAAACAACCCAGACCGCCAGCUAAGGUCCCAAAGUCAUGGUUAAGUGGGAAACGAUGUGGGAAGGCCCAGACAGCCAGGAUGUUGGCUUAGAAGCAGCCAUCAUUUAAAGAAAGCGUAAUAGCUCACUGGUCGAGUCGGCCUGCGCGGAAGAUGUAACGGGGCUAAACCAUGCACCGAAGCUGCGGCAGCGACACUGUGUGUUGUUGGGUAGGGGAGCGUUCUGUAAGCCUGUGAAGGUGUGCUGUGAGGCAUGCUGGAGGUAUCAGAA
This 891-nucleotide ribosomal RNA is filed under the name Escherichia coli. RNAcentral describes it as "partial 23S ribosomal RNA". It matches the Rfam family "Bacterial large subunit ribosomal RNA", at positions 398 to 1287 of the family's 2925-position model. The record is from RNAcentral. Lineage: Bacteria; Pseudomonadati; Pseudomonadota; Gammaproteobacteria; Enterobacterales; Enterobacteriaceae.